This 459-nucleotide ribosomal RNA is filed under the name Carex atrofusca. RNAcentral's name for it is "eukaryotic LSU rRNA". The stretch from base 318 to 459 matches the Rfam family "Eukaryotic large subunit ribosomal RNA", at positions 1 to 141 of the family's 3401-position model. Lineage: Eukaryota; Viridiplantae; Streptophyta; Magnoliopsida; Poales; Cyperaceae. The record is from RNAcentral.
UGCAGAAUCCCGUGAACCAUCGAGUCUUUGAACGCAAGUUGCGCCCGAGGGACCCUCCCGAGGGCACGCCUGCCUCAUGGGCGUUAGAAGCCCAUCCACGCUCGGCUGCCGAACUAACGGCAGAGAUGCGGAAAUUGGCCCUCCGAACCGUGAGGUGCGGUGGGCCCAAGUGUGCGGCCGUCGUAUGUGGCCGGGAUCGGCGAGUGGUGGGCUACUGCGCACGUCGCCCCGAGCCCCCGUACCGAUAAAGGGCCUUGUANGACCCCCUAACGAGGAGCGUGCCGUUGCGGCUUCUGCUGCGCGGCGCCUUCGGACCGAUACCCCAGGUCAGGCGGGGCUACCCGCCGAGUUUAAGCAUAUAAAUAAGCGGAGGAGAAGAAACUUACAAGGAUUCCCCUAGUAACGGCGAGCGAACCGGGAGAUGCCCAGCCUUAGAAUCGCGGCGGCACUGCCGUCCGA